AAAGUCGUAACAAGGUUUCCGUAGGUGAACCUGCGGAAGGAUCAUUAUUGAAUCCUUAGGAUGUUGCUGGCCUUUCGGGGCAUGUGCACUCCGCCUUUCAAUACACCUGUGAACUUAUUGUAGGUGGCAUAUACAUGUCACCUAUGUUUUUACAAACCCCAUACAAGUUAUUGAAUGUCUAAUGAUGGCUUUGGCCAAUAAACAUUAAUACAACUUUCAACAAUGGAUCUCUUGGUUCUC
This 240-nucleotide unclassified non-coding RNA is filed under the name Basidiomycota sp. RNAcentral's name for it is "partial contains small subunit ribosomal RNA, internal transcribed spacer 1, and 5.8S ribosomal RNA". The stretch from base 1 to 47 matches the Rfam family "Eukaryotic small subunit ribosomal RNA", at positions 1785 to 1831 of the family's 1831-position model. The record is from RNAcentral. Lineage: Eukaryota; Fungi; Basidiomycota.